UCGCCUCUUGCAAAACAACAUAUAAGAGGUCCCGCCUGCCCUGUGAUAAUAAAUUUAACGGCCGCGGUAUUUUGACCGUGCGAAGGUAGCGAAAUCACUUGUCUUUUAAAUGAAGACCUGUAUGAAUGGCAUGACGAGGGCUUGACUGUCUCCUUUUUCAAGUCAAUGAAAUUGAUCUCCCCGUGCAGAAGCGGGGAUUAAAACAUAAGACGAGAAGACCCUAUGGAGCUUUAGACACCAGAGCAGACCAUGUUAAACACCCCCGAUAAGGGACUAAACCAAAUGGGACCUGCCCCAAUGUCUUUGGUUGGGGCGACCGCGGGGAAACAAAAAACCCCCACGUGGAAUGGGAGUACUACUCCUAAAACUAAGAGCUCCCGCUCUAGUAAACAGAAUUUCUGACCAACAAGAUCCGGCAACGCCGAUCAACGGACCGAGUUACCCUAGGGAUAACAGCGCAAUCCCCUUUUAGAGCCCAUAUCGACAAGGGGGUUUACGACCUCGAUGUUGGAUCAGGACAUCCUAAUGGUGCAGCCGCUAU
Molecule: ribosomal RNA, 541 nt
Filed under: Latris lineata (striped trumpeter)
Lineage: Eukaryota; Metazoa; Chordata; Actinopteri; Centrarchiformes; Latridae
Description: partial 16S ribosomal RNA
Rfam family: Bacterial large subunit ribosomal RNA
Source: RNAcentral